GUUGCUGCUAAGCAGUGCUUACAUUAAGUGCUUUUCCUUGAGCUUCCCCUACUCUGCCAGCAAGGAGGUGCACAAGAAGCUGGGAGGGAUUAUAGGCAGGACAGCUGACCCACACUGGACGAAGGGGUAUUCCAUACUAUAUGACAUCAUGCUUGUAUAUAAGCUGGGGAGAGUUGGCCAGGGGCCAGCAACUGCUGCUCAGGGACUGGCUGGGCAUCGGUCGGUGGGUGGGGAGCUGUUGCAUCUCUUUUUUUUCCUGUUUUUUUUUUCCUCACUCUCUCUUUUGUUGUUUUCCUUCAUUACUAUCACUAAUACUAUGAUUAUUAUUAUUACAUUUUAUUUCAAUUAUUAAACUGCUUUUAUCUCAACCCACAGUUUUCUCACUUUUCACCUUCCAGUUCCCCCAGUCCCAAUGAGGGGGGAAUAAGCGAGCGGCUGUAUAGUCUUUAUUUGCUGGCUGGGGUUAAACCACGUCAAAUAAACAAGAAUGAAAUAUGACAUAAUUAAUCACUUAGGCAGGAUGAUUACAAAUUCCAUCAAGUUAAUUGGAAACUAAGCUAUACAGUUAUCAAAAUAAUACUGUUCAGCAGAAAUAUUUGUGAUCAAUUUGGAAUUAUGGUCUAUAUUUCCUUGUAAGGGUAAGACUUAAACUCUUGGCAUUUUCUGCUGAAGGCAACAUCCAGUCAGUUAGGUAGGCUUCACAGAAUGGAUCCUAUCCUUAGGUUGUUCGUUGACCGGUUGGUGUUGCAGAUCUAUGCUUCACCUUUGCUCUGAUAUAGAAACUGACUCUGGUCAGAGUUGUACCACCUUCAUGCUGUAGCUUCCAGUGGUAGUAACUUUGGUAGCUGUGAGCCCCCAUCAUAUCCUGUCAAUGCUUUCUGGGCUGGAGCUGACUUAUGGGCAGCCAGGCUGGACAGCAGAGGCAGAAUUAGCAUGUUAUGCCUGAUGCGUCCGAAUCUUAUGGGAGAGAGUGUCAAAAACAUUGCUGAAGUCAAGGUAUUGGACAUGCACUCCUAUCUUCUCACCUACACAUCCAGUCAUUUUAUCAUAGAAGGCAGUCAAGUUGGUCAGAAAGCCAUUCUGAUAUCAACUGAGGCUCCAAGUGAGUGAUGGUGAAGCAACUCUCAUUAGUUGUCUGUGUUCUCAGUGAAAGAGAGGGUUAUGUGACAUAAGAGGAUUUAACGGCACCGAAAAUCCCCAAUAUUUAAUUUGGAAGCACGAAACCAGUAUCGUCAUUGCUGUCAGACUUCCACUUGUCAUGACAGAUGGGAGGUGUCACGGGAGGUGAGGACAUUUGGAGAACAGCUUCAUGACCCAAGUAUGACUCAUAGUUGCUUGUUGCAUACAGACAAAUUGUCACAUAUGAUAGUUUUUUAGAAGUCUUCACAAAUGUGACUUCACUUACUGUCAUUUUUUCACCCUCACAUUCCCUAUUUUCUGCUGGUGUCCAAAAAGCAAUAAUUAACACCAAUGAAAUUCAGCAGGACUGGUUAAAUAGAAGUGAGAAAAGAA
Molecule: non-coding RNA, 1512 nt
Organism: Phalacrocorax carbo (great cormorant)
Lineage: Eukaryota; Metazoa; Chordata; Aves; Suliformes; Phalacrocoracidae
Source: RefSeq, a predicted model, not a curated record